Molecule: ribosomal RNA, 279 nt
Filed under: Pseudomonas citronellolis
Lineage: Bacteria; Pseudomonadati; Pseudomonadota; Gammaproteobacteria; Pseudomonadales; Pseudomonadaceae
Description: partial 16S ribosomal RNA
Rfam family: Bacterial small subunit ribosomal RNA
Source: RNAcentral
CCGCGAGGUGGAGCUAAUCCCAGAAAACCGAUCGUAGUCCGGAUCGCAGUCUGCAACUCGACUGCGUGAAGUCGGAAUCGCUAGUAAUCGUGAAUCAGAAUGUCACGGUGAAUACGUUCCCGGGCCUUGUACACACCGCCCGUCACACCAUGGGAGUGGGUUGCUCCAGAAGUAGCUAGUCUAACCGCAAGGGGGACGGUUACCACGGAGUGAUUCAUGACUGGGGUGAAGUCGUAACAAGGUAGCCGUAGGGGAACCUGCGGCUGGAUCACCUCCUUA